This 444-nucleotide small RNA is filed under the name Pongo abelii (Sumatran orangutan). Its description in RNAcentral is "retained intron". Lineage: Eukaryota; Metazoa; Chordata; Mammalia; Primates; Hominidae. The record is from RNAcentral.
GAAGAGAAAAGGUUUACGGUGACCAUUGGCGAAGAUGAACGGGAAUUUGACAAAGAAAAUGAAGUUUUUCGAGAUUGGAAUUCUCGGAUCCCGAGAGAUGUCAGAGACACAGUACUCGAGCCUUACGCGGACCCUUAUUAUGACUAUGAAAUUGAGCGGUUUUGGCGUGGCGGACAGUAUGAGAAUUUCAGGGUGCAGUAUACAGAAACAGAGUCGUAUCAUAAUUACCGAGUAAGUAUGACUUCAGUAUCCACAUAUGAACUUCAUGAUCUGUUCAUUCAAGUUAUCCCUUUUUAUUUAUAGUAAAAAAUAUAGGGCUUUAUAUGAGCUUAUAGAGUCAGCACAAUGUACCAAUUUCAAAACCAAAUUGAUUGUUAUGGAGAACUAAUUUAGAGCCAGCAAUUAAAUUAAUGGUCAUUUGAACAAAGACUUGCCUGAAAACUG